This 403-nucleotide ribosomal RNA is filed under the name uncultured bacterium. RNAcentral's name for it is "partial 16S ribosomal RNA". It matches the Rfam family "Bacterial small subunit ribosomal RNA", at positions 29 to 526 of the family's 1533-position model. The record is from RNAcentral.
AUUGAACGCUGGCGGCAGGCCUAACACAUGCAAGUCGAGCGGAGCGGGGACGGGUGAGUAACACGUGGGUAACCUCCCAUCAGAGGGGAAAACACUUGGAAACAGGUGCUAAACCGAUAAGGAUGGAUGGGCCCGCGGUGCAUUAGCUAGUGGGUGAGGUAAAGGCGAAGCAAGGCCACGAUGCAUAGCCGGCCUGAGAGGGUGAUCGGCCACACUGGGACUGAGACACGGCCCAGACUCCUACGGGAGGCAGCAGUAGUGAAUAUUCGGCAAUGGACGAAAGUCUGACCGAGCCACGCCGCGUGAGUGAAGAAGGUUUUCGGAUCGUAAAACUCUUUUGUUAGAGAAGCGGUAUCUAACCAGAAAGCCACGGCUAACUCCGUGCCAGCAGCCGCGGUAAUUC